UUAAACCAAAUCUUAGACAAAUCCUAAGCUCUAAAUAAAUCUUAAAUCCUAAACCAAAUCUUAGUAAAACUUUAAAUCCUAAAUCAAAUCUUAGAUAAAUCUUAAAUCCUAAAUAAAUUCUAAAUCCUAAAUCAAACUCUAGAAAAGUCUUAAAUCCUAAAUCAAAUCCUAAAUAAAUUUUAAACUCUAAAUAAAUCUUAAAUCCUAAAUCAAAUCUUAGAA
RNAcentral lists this long non-coding RNA (222 nucleotides) under Physcomitrium patens. RNAcentral describes it as "long non-coding RNA (PPAT_LNC006075)". Lineage: Eukaryota; Viridiplantae; Streptophyta; Bryopsida; Funariales; Funariaceae. The record is from RNAcentral.